Molecule: long non-coding RNA, 1028 nt
Organism: Sapajus apella (tufted capuchin)
Lineage: Eukaryota; Metazoa; Chordata; Mammalia; Primates; Cebidae
Exons: 2
Source: RefSeq, a predicted model, not a curated record
AAGGACUUGAGGAACACAAGACGCUGUUGGUCGUGUUCUUUAUUGCAGUGUUCACCCCUUUCUGGCCUGUGUUUAUUGUUGACAUGUAUUUUACUUCCACACAUAAUCCCACAGCCAUCGUUAUUUUUGCUUUGGAAAGUUAAUUGUUUUGUAAAGGAAAGAAGAGCUCAGGGGAAGAGAGGUCUUUUCAUUUGCCCACAUGUGACGGUGCCUGGAGCCUCUGCAGGUCCCAGUCUUUUCAUUGCCCACAUGUGACCGUGCCUGGAGCCUCUGCUGGUCCCUGUCUUUUCAUUGCCCACAUGUGACCGUGCCUGGAGCCUCUGCUGGUCCCAGUCUUUUCAUUGCCCACAUGUGACCGUGCCUGGAGCCUCUGCUGGUCCCAGUCUUUUCAUUGCCCACAUGUGACCGUGCCUGGAGCCUCUGCUGGUCCCUGUCUUUUCAUUGCCCACAUGUGACCGUGCCUGGAGCCUCUGCAGGUCCCAGUCUUUUCAUUGCCCACAUGUGACCGUGCCUGGAGCCUCUGCAGGUCCCAGUUUCCGUCUGUGCCAUUUCCCUUUCCUGAAGCACUUACUUCAGCAUUUGCAUUUGGUGAGGGUCUGUGGGCAGUGAAUCCUCUAGGCUUUCAUUUUUCUGAAACUGUCUUUAUUUUUUUUUAAGACAUUUUCUCUUUUUACCAGUGAAGAAGCAGCACUGAUUAUCUUCCUUUUUAAAGGCUCCUUUUGCUAGAUGGAGUCUUGUGGGUUGACUGCUUUUUUUCCCUUUUGGCACUUUAAAAGUGUCAUUCCAUCUGGUUUCCUUUGCUUCUGAUGAGUCCCUGCCAUUGUUCCCCAUAUAGAACAGGUCUUUUUCCUCUGGCUAUUGUUUUCCCUUUAUCAUGGGCAUUCAGUAAUUUGGCUCUGAUGGACAUAGUUGCCUUUUUCUUUUCCUUUAAUUUCUCCUGUUUAGGAUUCAUUGGGCUUCCUGGAAUUUUUUAAAAAUUUAAUUUUUUACAUUCUUUCUUCAACUACUUUUGGCCCCAUUUUGUCUCC